UGUCUCCUCUAUGUCUCCUCCUUUGAUAUAGAUUUAGCCCGCCUUCUUGUGCGGGCUUUUUUUU
Molecule: non-coding RNA, 64 nt
Organism: Herminiimonas arsenicoxydans
Lineage: Bacteria; Pseudomonadati; Pseudomonadota; Betaproteobacteria; Burkholderiales; Oxalobacteraceae
Source: Rfam